Molecule: long non-coding RNA, 1772 nt
Organism: Oncorhynchus keta (chum salmon)
Lineage: Eukaryota; Metazoa; Chordata; Actinopteri; Salmoniformes; Salmonidae
Exons: 6
Source: RefSeq, a predicted model, not a curated record
GCUAAUUUAUGUUCUGUGCGAUGUUUUAGUGGGAUUGUUUACAAUGUAACACACAAUGUAACACACGGAUGAAUAUGAAAAUAAUGAUUCAUCUAUAUUUUAACAGAUUUGUGUAAUUACGUAAUUUUCCUACAAAUAUGUAAUAAUAGUUCGUUACUAUUUGAAAAAUAUCACCCUCGAACUAAUAUUAGGGAAAAACGCUUCCAAGCAUUGACUUGGCAAAUAUCCUUCACCCCCAUUGACUCGAGGUAAAUAAAGCGCCCAUGAUUAAACAACAUGGUGGUUGACAGUAAUCUGGGUUAGCAAGAAAUGUAGACAUUCAUCUCUACAUCUUUGCAAACCACUUAGUGCUGAAUUCUCGGGGGAAAAAAGUAAAUUAGCUAUCUAUUCUACUGCUGAAAAAACAACGGAUUUCCGGUUUCUAGUUGUUCGUUGAUCUCAACGACAGAAUGAGCAACAUCUACAUUCAAGAGCCUCCAUCAAAUGGAAAGAGUGGUGCCAGAGUUCAUUGUCCAAGGAGGAGAUCCCACAGGCACCUGGAGGGUGGAGAGUCCAUCUAUGGACGGCAGUUCAAGGUUAACCUUCACUGUUUCAUCACCUCAUUAUCUCGGAUCAUGUUCAAUCCCCCCAAAAGAUAAGACUAGACAUAAACAGAAUUCUUCUACUUGGAACCUUUGCCAACUCUCCCAUACUACUGCUACUAAUGAUAACAUGGCCAACGCAGGGCCCCAUGACAACGACAGCCAGUUCUUCUUCACCCUUGGCCAGGCAGAUGAGCUCAACAACAAACACACCAUCUUUGGAAAGGUGAUACAGUGUACAACAUGCUCAGGUUAGCAGAAGUGGAAUGUGAUCAGGAGGAAAGACAUUUAAAUCCACACAAGUUACGAACCACUGAGGUGUUACAUUCUCCCUUCGAUGACAUCAUUCCACGUGAAACAAAAAAAUCCCAAAAGGAUAAAGACAAAAAAUAAGGCAAGAAAUCUGUCCAAAGCAACAGUGUUUAAUUUACUAUUAUACACACUUUCUCUGCUCCUCACUCUCAAUCUGUUGCUGACUUGGAAGCGUGGCACUGUAGUUAUGAACAGUCACCCAUACUUGUUUUGUCAGGAACUUUAGUCUGUUGUCAUUCGGAGAGGAAGCUGAGGAGGAGAUGGUAACUCAAGUCAGCCAGACACUGAAGGGGAAAAGCAAAAGCAGUCAUGACCUGCUGAAGGAUGUUCCACUGCUUAGCUCUGUCCCCACAGUCAACAAGGAGAGGAUGAUGAGGCUGCGGAUGGUGAUGAAAAGGAGUAUGACUCUGAGAGGCAGGAAAUGAGGGAGAGGAUCUCUAAGAAGAUGGAGGAGAAGAAGAGUACAGACCCCAGUGAGGAGGACAGAGGGAAGAGGACCAACUGCAGGUUGAUUACACAAAAAUGAUAUACCAUCCACAGCAUAGCCUAAAUGCCUUUUACACACCUAUUUUUAAUUUGAGGAAUGUUUUCUCACAUGUUACGCUAUAAUAGCAUUGUUUACGUUGCUUGUUCAUCAGUGUUCAGAGUUUAUGCCACUUUUUAUUAAAGGCCCAAUGCAGCUGUUUUUAUAUUAUUAUCAAAUAAUUUCUGGAUAACAGUUAAGUACCUUACUAGCUAGGUUUCCAUCCAAUUGUCGACAGAUUUUUAUGCAUAAAAACAAUAUUUUCCCACCAGAGAUGUGUUUCUGUCAAAUUGACUUGUUGCAGAUUAAAGGUGAUGAUAUAGUGCACAUAAAAAUACCUUUUGCGGUUAAAUUUC